This 254-nucleotide ribosomal RNA is filed under the name uncultured bacterium. Its description in RNAcentral is "partial 16S ribosomal RNA". It matches the Rfam family "Bacterial small subunit ribosomal RNA", at positions 524 to 776 of the family's 1533-position model. The record is from RNAcentral.
UACGGAGGGGGCAAGCGUUGUUCGGAAUUACUGGGCGUAAAGGGCGCGCAGGCGGCUGCUCAAGUCAGGCGUGAAAGGCCUGGGCUCAACCCGGGAAUUGCGCUUGAGACUGGGCUGGCUUGAAUUCGGGAGAGGGAUGCAGAAUUCCAGGUGUAGCGGUGAAAUGCGUAGAUAUCUGGAGGAAUACCGGUGGCGAAGGCGGCAUCCUGGACCGACAUUGACGCUGAACGGCGAAAGCUAGGGGAGCAAACGGG